This 542-nucleotide unclassified non-coding RNA is filed under the name Ilyonectria robusta. RNAcentral's name for it is "sequence contains ITS1, 5.8S rRNA gene and ITS2". The stretch from base 183 to 336 matches the Rfam family "5.8S ribosomal RNA". Lineage: Eukaryota; Fungi; Ascomycota; Sordariomycetes; Hypocreales; Nectriaceae. The record is from RNAcentral.
AAGUCGUAACAAGGUCUCCGUUGGUGAACCAGCGGAGGGAUCAUUACCGAGUUUACAACUCCCAAACCCCUGUGAACAUACCAUAUUGUUGCCUCGGCGGUGUCUGUUUCGGCAGCCCGCCAGAGGACCCAAACCCUAGAUUACAUUAAAGCAUUUUCUGAGUCAAUGAUUAAAUCAAUCAAAACUUUCAACAACGGAUCUCUUGGUUCUGGCAUCGAUGAAGAACGCAGCGAAAUGCGAUAAGUAAUGUGAAUUGCAGAAUUCAGUGAAUCAUCGAAUCUUUGAACGCACAUUGCGCCCGCCAGUAUUCUGGCGGGCAUGCCUGUCCGAGCGUCAUUUCAACCCUCAAGCCCCCGGGCUUGGUGUUGGAGAUCGGCGAGCCCCCCGGGGCGCGCCGUCUCCCAAAUAUAGUGGCGGUCCCGCUGUAGCUUCCUCUGCGUAGUAGCACACCUCGCRGCUGGGAAACAGCGUGGCCACGCCGUAAAACCCCCCACUUCUGAAAGGUUGACCUCGGAUCAGGUAGGAAUACCCGCUGAACUUAA